RNAcentral lists this ribosomal RNA (163 nucleotides) under uncultured Roseobacter sp. Its description in RNAcentral is "partial 16S ribosomal RNA". It matches the Rfam family "Bacterial small subunit ribosomal RNA", at positions 347 to 528 of the family's 1533-position model. The record is from RNAcentral. Lineage: Bacteria; Pseudomonadati; Pseudomonadota; Alphaproteobacteria; Rhodobacterales; Roseobacteraceae.
GGCCCCCCUGGGAUCUAUACAAUGGGGGCAACCCUGAUCUAGCCUGCCGCGUGAGUGAUGAAGGCCUUAGGGUCGUAAAGCUCUUUCGCCUGUGAUGAUAAUGACAGUAGCAGGUAAAGAAACCCCGGCUAACUCCGUGCCAGCAGCCGCGGUAAUAAUUCUU